UCGCCUGUUUAUCAAAAACAUGUCUUCUUGAUAAGUGGUAAAUUUGAAGUUUGACCUGCCCACUGAUUGAAAUUGAAGGGCCGCGGUAUAUUGACCGUGCAAAGGUAGCAUAAUCAUUAGUCUUUUAAUUGAAGGCUGGAAUGAAUGGUUGGACGAGGUAUAAACUGUCUCAUAUUAAAUGGUUUAUAGAAAUUAACUUUUGAGUGAAAAGGCUCAAAUGAUUUUAAGGGACGAGAAGACCCUAUAGAGUUUUACUUCUUGUAGAGAAAUUUUAAUUAAUUUAGAGCGUUGAUUUAUUUAAAGUUGCUUGGAAGUUUUGUUGGGGUGAUGGAAAGAUAAGAAAAACUCUUUUUAUAAAUUUGACUUUGAUGAUAGGAGUGUUGAUCCUUUUUUAAAGAUUAUAAGAUUAAGUUACCUUAGGGAUAACAGCGUAAUCUUUUUUGAGAGUUCUUAUCGACAAAAAGGGUUGCGACCUCGAUGUUGGAUUAAGGUGAAACUUGGGUGUAGCAGUUUAAGUUUUAGGUCUGUUCGACCUUUAAAUCCUUACAUGAUCUGAGUUCAAACCGGAGA
RNAcentral lists this ribosomal RNA (570 nucleotides) under Neoperla clymene. RNAcentral describes it as "partial 16S ribosomal RNA". It matches the Rfam family "Bacterial large subunit ribosomal RNA", at positions 1796 to 2622 of the family's 2925-position model. Lineage: Eukaryota; Metazoa; Arthropoda; Insecta; Plecoptera; Perlidae. The record is from RNAcentral.